AAGGCGUCACAGAAGAAGAUGUUCUCCCCCAUCAUCUCCGGUACGAGCCCCUCAAGGUCAUCACCGACCACAAUCCAAGCGGUCGUCAUCAGGUUGACCCAAAUUUCAAAAGAGGCGGAGGAGACCACAGUAGUGAUCCAUUUGAGGCUACGUCACCGAAUAUAUCGGUGUAGGUGACAAUGAAGAAGUGCAGCUAUUUUACAUUGUCGAUGAGUCUGAAAGAGCUCCUGCAGACGAUCCUCUGUUGCUAUGGUUCAAUGGAGGCCCAGGUUGCUCUGGUCUUGCUGGAUUCUCUUUUGAGAGUGGUAUUUUCUCGUCCUUCAUUACAUCAGUUUCUGAAAACAUGUUGCACAAAGCUAUGAAUUUCUGCAGAAGGUAUGCAUCUUAUACAAUCUAUUUGUAAGAAAACUAGUGGCAUUUAUUCCACAGAUUUAAUGAAUAGUCUGCUUUGAAUUUGACAAUUCGUGUUGUCAUGCAGUGGCUGGAGGCACACCCUGCGGAAAAUAUGCUCUACAUUGGUGGUGACUCCUUCUCUGGCA
Rosa rugosa (rugosa rose) is the source of this 539-nucleotide long non-coding RNA. RefSeq lists it as uncharacterized. The transcript is spliced from 3 exons. The record is from RefSeq and is a predicted model, not a curated record. Lineage: Eukaryota; Viridiplantae; Streptophyta; Magnoliopsida; Rosales; Rosaceae.